Long non-coding RNA from Harmonia axyridis, 735 nucleotides. RefSeq lists it as uncharacterized. NCBI's taxonomy places the organism in Eukaryota, Metazoa, Arthropoda, Insecta, Coleoptera, Coccinellidae. The transcript has 2 exons. The record is from RefSeq and is a predicted model, not a curated record.
UCUACAAUUUAUUAACAUUCUACUUGGUAUCUUGAAGAAGUUUUACAGUCAUUGAGCAUAUAAUACAUUGAGAAUGAUAAGGUAUUAGCAUAAGAUAAAGGCGAUAUAAAUCCAAUUCGGUACGGAAAUUUAAAUGAAAUUUACGCAAAUGUAACAUAAAAAUUCAUUAGGUUCUUCUUCUCUAGAACAUCACAAAAUGUUCGCGAAAAAUUAAGUGUCACAAUUAUUUUCUAUGUUCUUGUAACCUCUUAUGAAUGAAAAUUAUUUGUCAGCACAAAAAACCUACAUUUUUCUCCAAUUAAUAUAAAUUUAUAAUGCCUUGCUCGCAAUCUUGUACAAAACACAAACCCAAACUAAAAAAUGUCACAACAAUAAUUUUUGAUAUGGAUGGUACCCUCCUUGAAAGAAAAUAGUAUUACAAAUUGGGUAGAAUGCAGUCCCUUAUUUGAAGGUGCCAUACUCUACCAAUGGCUGUGGCCGAAUAUCCAGACCAACAUUCAACGUUUCAACAAAGUCCUACCAAUUGAACACAUCAGACAUGAAGAUUCCUGUAAUUUCAAGUUUGCGCAUGCUUUACGCGCACCAUAUAAUCUGGAAAAGCUGAAAGUCGUAACGGCCCAUCUACCACCCAAGAUGAUAUCAAAUUCCAUCAAAUCGGAUUAGAAUUGUAGAAGUUAAUAAGGUCCUAAAUUUACCACUGUAUGGCGACUACUGAAAACUAAUAUGUCUAACUGA